Molecule: small nuclear RNA, 148 nt
Filed under: Notechis scutatus (mainland tiger snake)
Lineage: Eukaryota; Metazoa; Chordata; Lepidosauria; Squamata; Elapidae
Description: U2 spliceosomal RNA (ENSNSUG00000020372.1)
Rfam family: U2 spliceosomal RNA (bases 1-113)
About the family: U2 is a small nuclear RNA (snRNA) component of the spliceosome (involved in pre-mRNA splicing). Complementary binding between U2 snRNA (in an area lying towards the 5' end but 3' to hairpin I) and the branchpoint sequence (BPS) of the intron results the bulging out of an unpaired adenosine, on the BPS, which initiates a nucleophilic attack at the intronic 5' splice site, thus starting the first of two transesterification reactions that mediate splicing.
Source: RNAcentral
CUUGUUUCUUGGCCUUUUGGCUAAGUUCAUGUGCAGUAUCUGUUCUUAUCAGUUUAAUAUCUGACUUCAAACAUAGAUAUUCAAAAAGUCAUGGUGGAAGGAUUUUACCAUACUCAUCAUGCCUGGAAUGUCCCGAUUCCCACAAAAC